AAGAAAAUAGUAUAUUAAAUACAUUUUGUUUACACCAAAAAGCAGGGCUCUUCCUUUUCUCU
This 62-nucleotide transfer RNA is filed under the name Trypanobia cryptica. RNAcentral's name for it is "tRNA-Val". Lineage: Eukaryota; Metazoa; Annelida; Polychaeta; Phyllodocida; Syllidae. The record is from RNAcentral.